This 447-nucleotide ribosomal RNA is filed under the name uncultured bacterium. RNAcentral describes it as "bacterial SSU rRNA". It matches the Rfam family "Bacterial small subunit ribosomal RNA", at positions 29 to 478 of the family's 1533-position model. The record is from RNAcentral.
AUUGAACGCUGGCGGCAUGCUUUACACAUGCAAGUCGAGCGGCAGCGCGGGGGCAACCCUGGCGGCGAGCGGCGAACGGGUGAGUAAUGCAUCGGAACGUACCCUGGAGUGGGGGAUAACGCCGCGAAAGCGACGCUAAUACCGCAUAUGCUCUGAGGAGGAAAGUGGGGGAUCUGCAAGGGCCUCACGCUCUGGGAGCGGCCGAUGUCCGAUUAGCUAGUUGGUGGGGUAAAGGCUUACCAAGGCGACGAUCGGUAGCUGGUCUGAGAGGAUGAUCAGCCACACUGGGACUGAGACACGGCCCAGACUCCUACGGGAGGCAGCAGUGGGGAAUUUUGGACAAUGGGGGCAACCCUGAUCCAGCCAUGCCGCGUGAGUGAAGAAGGCCUGGUUGUAAGACUCUUCGUGGGAGAAGUUGCACAGGAGUAAUACCUUAGUGUAGAUGAC